GGUAGCAUGGCCGAGCGGGCCAAGGCACCGGAUUUAGGCUCCAGUCUCUUCGGGAGCGAGGGUUCGAAUCCCUCUUCUGCCU
Molecule: non-coding RNA, 82 nt
Organism: Gymnothorax javanicus (giant moray)
Lineage: Eukaryota; Metazoa; Chordata; Actinopteri; Anguilliformes; Muraenidae
Source: the annotation of a GenBank genome assembly